Unclassified non-coding RNA from Pongo abelii (Sumatran orangutan), 117 nucleotides. It matches the Rfam family "Metazoan signal recognition particle RNA". Rfam says of the family: The signal recognition particle (SRP) is a universally conserved ribonucleoprotein. It is involved in the co-translational targeting of proteins to membranes. The eukaryotic SRP consists of a 300-nucleotide 7S RNA and six proteins: SRPs 72, 68, 54, 19, 14, and 9. The record is from Ensembl. Lineage: Eukaryota; Metazoa; Chordata; Mammalia; Primates; Hominidae.
GCUGGGCGUGGUGGCUCACGCCUGUAAUCCCAGCACUUGGGGAGGCUGAGGCUGGUGGAUCACCUGAGGUCAGGAGUUCGAGACCAGCCUGGCCAACAUGGUGAAACCCUGUCUCUA